CCUUCGGACUGUCCCAGGGAGGUCGGCAACGACCACCCAGGGACGGAAAGUUGGUCAAACUUGGUCAUUUAGAGGAUGUAAAAGUCGUAACAAGGUUUCCGUAGGUGAACCUGCGGAAGGAUCAUUAAAGAGUAAGGGUCUCUGGCCCGAACCUCCAACCCUCUGUCGUUAUAACUACUUCGUUGCUUUGGCGGGACCGCAAGGUUUCCACCGAGCGCGCCGGUCUUCGGACAGGCGAGCGCCCGCCAGAGUCUAACCAAACUCUUGUUUUAAACCAGUCGUCUGAGUAUAAAAUUUUAAUUAAAUUAAAACUUUCAACAACGGAUCUCUUGGUUCUCGCAUCGAUGAAGAACGCAGCGAAAUGCGAUAAGUAAUGUGAAUUGCAGAGUUCAGUGAAUCAUCGAAUCUUUGAACGCACAUUGCGCCCCUUGGUAUUCCGAGGGGCAUGCCUGUUCGAGCGUCAUUACACCACUCAAGCACUGCUUGGUAUUAGGCACUCGUCCGUCGAAAGACGGGCGUGCCUCGAAGGCCUCGGCGGGGUUUCUCCAACUUCGGGCGUAGUAGAGUUAAAUCAAAACGUCUUAUAAGUCUGGGGAGACUCCAUUGCCGUAAAACCUUUAUUUUUUCAGGUUGACCUCGGAUCAGGUAGGGAUACCCGCUGAACUUAAGCAUAUCAAUAAGCGGAGGAAAAGAAACCAACAGGGAUUGCCCUAGUAACGGCGAGUGAAGCGGCAAUAGCUCAAAUUUGAAAGCUGGCCUUCUGGUCCGCAUUGUAAUUUGUAGAGGAUGCUUUUAGGCAGCCGCCGGUCUAAGUUCCUUGGAACAGGACG
Molecule: ribosomal RNA, 830 nt
Filed under: uncultured Coniozyma
Lineage: Eukaryota; Fungi; Ascomycota; Dothideomycetes; Dothideales; Dothideaceae
Description: eukaryotic LSU rRNA
Rfam family: 5.8S ribosomal RNA (bases 310-463)
Source: RNAcentral